UAGAUCGUGACAGGUAAGCGAAAUCUUAGGAAAGUAGCGAAGCACAUGAUGACGGCUUCCAGGAAAAGCUUCUGGCAAUGCAUAUGCGGCCCGUACCAAAACCGACACAGGUGGGCAGGGAGAGAAUCCCGAGGUGAGCGAGAGAACUGUUGCCAAGGAACUCGGCAAAAUGACUCCGUAAGUUAGCGAGAAGGAGUGCUUAAGCAAUUAAGCCGCAGUGAAGAGGCCCAAGCGACUGUUUAACUAAAACACAGCUCUCUGCGAAGUCGCAAGACGAAGUAUAGGGGGUGACACCUGCCCGGUGCUGGAAGGUUAAGAGGAUCUGUUAAGAGCGAUCUGAAGCAGUGAUCCGAAGCCCCAGUGAACGGCGGCCGUAACAAUAACGGUCCUAAGGUAGCGAAAUUCCUUGUCAGGUAAGUUCUGACCCGCACGAAAGGUGUAACGAUUUGGGCGCUGUCUCGGCAGCAGACUCGGUGAAAUCUUAGUACCUGUGAAAAUGCAGGUUACCCGCAACUAGACGGAAAGACCCCAUGGAGCUUUACUGCAGCCUGAUAUUGAAUUCUGGUCAUACAUGUACAGGAUAGGUGGAGACAAAGAGACGUGCACGCCAGUGUACGAGGAGUCGACGUUGGGAUACCACUCUUGUGUGACUGGGGUUCUAACCUGGUAUCGAGAACAGGUACGGGGAGAGUGUCAGGUGGGCAGUUUGACUGGGGCGGUCGCCUCCCAAAGAGUAACGGAGGCGCCCAAAGGUACGCUCAGAUUGGAUGGAAACCAAUCGUCGAGUGCAAUUGCAGAAGCGUGCUUGACUGUGAGACAGACAAGUCGAACAGGGACGAAAGUCGGGAAUAGUGAUCCGGCGGUGCCGAAUGGAAGGGCCGUCGCUCAACGGAUAAAAGCUACCCUGGGGAUAACAGGCUGAUCUCGCCCAAGAGUUCACAUCGACGGCGAGGUUUGGCACCUCGAUGUCGGCUCAUCGCAUCCUGGAGCUGGAUUCGGUUCCAAGGGUUGGGCUGUCCGCCCAUUAAAGCGGUACGCGAGCUGGGUUCAGAACGUCGUGAGACAGUUCGGUCCCUAUCUGUUGUGGGCGAAGGAGAUCUGCGGAGAGCUGUCCUCAGUACGAGAGGACCGGGAUGGACCUACCGCUGGUGCACCGGUUGUUCCGCCAGGGGCAUAGCCGGGUAGCUAAGUAGGGAAAGGAUAAGCGCUGAAAGCAUCUAAGCACGAAGCCUACUCCAAGAUGAGAUCUCCCAUUCGCAAGAAGUAAGACCCCUUAAAGACGAUAAGGUAGAUAGGCCAGGGAUGGAAGUGCAGCGAUGUACGGAGUUGACUGGUACUAAUCGGUCGAGGACUUAAUC
RNAcentral lists this ribosomal RNA (1358 nucleotides) under metagenome. Its description in RNAcentral is "bacterial LSU rRNA". It matches the Rfam family "Bacterial large subunit ribosomal RNA", at positions 1550 to 2925 of the family's 2925-position model. The record is from RNAcentral.